Molecule: ribosomal RNA, 119 nt
Filed under: Poecilia mexicana
Lineage: Eukaryota; Metazoa; Chordata; Actinopteri; Cyprinodontiformes; Poeciliidae
Source: RNAcentral
GCUUACGGCCACACUACCUCGAGAACGCCCGAUCUCAUCUGAUCUCGGAAGCCAAGCAGGGUCGGGCCUGGUUAGUACUUGGAUGGGAGACCGCCUGGGAAUACCAGGUGCUGUAAGCC